GAGCCACCCUUAUUGGGGCAAGACUUGCUUCAGUGGGGCUUUGGUGCUCACUGAGUCUGCCCCCUGAGUGUGUCCCU
Molecule: microRNA precursor, 77 nt
Filed under: Myotis lucifugus (little brown bat)
Lineage: Eukaryota; Metazoa; Chordata; Mammalia; Chiroptera; Vespertilionidae
Description: mir-9229 microRNA precursor family
Rfam family: mir-9229 microRNA precursor family
Source: Rfam by way of RNAcentral